Long non-coding RNA from Mus musculus (house mouse), 319 nucleotides. RefSeq annotates it as predicted gene, 40776. The record is from RefSeq and is a predicted model, not a curated record. NCBI's taxonomy places the organism in Eukaryota, Metazoa, Chordata, Mammalia, Rodentia, Muridae. The transcript is spliced from 2 exons.
CUUGACCCCUCUCAUUCCAGGCCUGCUUUCCCUGGUUCCAAGGCUCCCUGGCUCCACACUGGCAGAGGGGACCCUGCCAUGGAGUGGCCUGAACGUUAAGCAGGGAGAUCCUGGGAUUGGAGCGUCUGUAAACCCCAGAAAUGCAUUGGCUCACCAAGCUACACUUGUGAAUCCCUCUUGGGCCCAUUGUUGGUGUUCCAGGUCAUAGAAUGUGAUAUGAGAAAGUGUACGGCUCAGCGUGAUUCCUCAAGACACCAAGAAUGCAGUGUGACCAUGUGACUUCAUUGCUUCACCAUAACUAAAGUCCACACAUACUGUC